CAAGAUACUAUGUUUUCCCCUCAAGAUGAUAUGUAGUUCCCUCAAGAUAGUUAUCUCGUUCCCUCAACAUAGCAAUAAAAUUAUAUUAAUAUGAGGGAACAACAUAGUAUCUUGAGGGAACGACAUAAUAUCUUGAGGGAACGACAUAUCAUCUUGUGGGAACAACAUAGUAUCUUG
This 177-nucleotide small RNA is filed under the name Mytilus galloprovincialis (Mediterranean mussel). Lineage: Eukaryota; Metazoa; Mollusca; Bivalvia; Mytilida; Mytilidae. The record is from RNAcentral.